This 1417-nucleotide ribosomal RNA is filed under the name Escherichia coli. Its description in RNAcentral is "partial 23S ribosomal RNA". It matches the Rfam family "Bacterial large subunit ribosomal RNA", at positions 1524 to 2916 of the family's 2925-position model. The record is from RNAcentral. Lineage: Bacteria; Pseudomonadati; Pseudomonadota; Gammaproteobacteria; Enterobacterales; Enterobacteriaceae.
GCUGGUUUUCCAGGCAAAUCCGGAAAAUCAAGGCUGAGGCGUGAUGACGAGGCACUACGGUGCUGAAGCAACAAAUGCCCUGCUUCCAGGAAAAGCCUCUAAGCAUCAGGUAACAUCAAAUCGUACCCCAAACCGACACAGGUGGUCAGGUAGAGAAUACCAAGGCGCUUGAGAGAACUCGGGUGAAGGAACUAGGCAAAAUGGUGCCGUAACUUCGGGAGAAGGCACGCUGAUAUGUAGGUGAAGCGACUUGCUCGUGGAGCUGAAAUCAGUCGAAGAUACCAGCUGGCUGCAACUGUUUAUUAAAAACACAGCACUGUGCAAACACGAAAGUGGACGUAUACGGUGUGACGCCUGCCCGGUGCCGGAAGGUUAAUUGAUGGGGUCAGCGCAAGCGAAGCUCUUGAUCGAAGCCCCGGUAAACGGCGGCCGUAACUAUAACGGUCCUAAGGUAGCGAAAUUCCUUGUCGGGUAAGUUCCGACCUGCACGAAUGGCGUAAUGAUGGCCAGGCUGUCUCCACCCGAGACUCAGUGAAAUUGAACUCGCUGUGAAGAUGCAGUGUACCCGCGGCAAGACGGAAAGACCCCGUGAACCUUUACUAUAGCUUGACACUGAACAUUGAGCCUUGAUGUGUAGGAUAGGUGGGAGGCUUUGAAGUGUGGACGCCAGUCUGCAUGGAGCCGACCUUGAAAUACCACCCUUUAAUGUUUGAUGUUCUAACGUUGACCCGUGAUCCGGGUUGCGGACAGUGUCUGGUGGGUAGUUUGACUGGGGCGGUCUCCUCCUAAAGAGUAACGGAGGAGCACGAAGGUUGGCUAAUCCUGGUCGGACAUCAGGAGGUUAGUGCAAUGGCAUAAGCCAGCUUGACUGCGAGCGUGACGGCGCGAGCAGGUGCGAAAGCAGGUCAUAGUGAUCCGGUGGUUCUGAAUGGAAGGGCCAUCGCUCAACGGAUAAAAGGUACUCCGGGGAUAACAGGCUGAUACCGCCCAAGAGUUCAUAUCGACGGCGGUGUUUGGCACCUCGAUGUCGGCUCAUCACAUCCUGGGGCUGAAGUAGGUCCCAAGGGUAUGGCUGUUCGCCAUUUAAAGUGGUACGCGAGCUGGGUUUAGAACGUCGUGAGACAGUUCGGUCCCUAUCUGCCGUGGGCGCUGGAGAACUGAGGGGGGCUGCUCCUAGUACGAGAGGACCGGAGUGGACGCAUCACUGGUGUUCGGGUUGUCAUGCCAAUGGCACUGCCCGGUAGCUAAAUGCGGAAGAGAUAAGUGCUGAAAGCAUCUAAGCACGAAACUUGCCCCGAGAUGAGUUCUCCCUGACUCCUUGAGAGUCCUGAAGGAACGUUGAAGACGACGACGUUGAUAGGCCGGGUGUGUAAGCGCAGCGAUGCGUUGAGCUAACCGGUACUAAUGAACCGUGAGG